Molecule: ribosomal RNA, 629 nt
Filed under: uncultured bacterium
Lineage: Bacteria
Description: bacterial SSU rRNA
Rfam family: Bacterial small subunit ribosomal RNA
Source: RNAcentral
GUCGAGCGAAGCGCUUCGUUUUGAAUCUUCGGAGGAAGAACGGAAUGACUGAGCGGCGGACGGGUGAGUAACGCGUGGGCAACCUGCCUCAUACAGGGGGAUAACAGUUAGAAAUGACUGCUAAUACCGCAUAAGACCGCGGUACCGCAUGGUACAGCGGUAAAAACUCCGGUGGUAUGAGAUGGGCCCGCGUCUGAUUAGCUAGUUGGCGGGGUAACGGCCCUCCAAGGCGACGAUCAGUAGCCGACCUGAGAGGGUGACCGGCCACAUUGGGACUGAGACACGGCCCAAACUCCUACGGGAGGCAGCAGUGGGGAAUAUUGCACAAUGGGGGAAACCCUGAUGCAGCGACGCCGCGUGAGCGAUGAAGUAUUUCGGUAUGUAAAGCUCUAUCAGCAGGGAAGAAGAUGACGGUACCUGACUAAGAAGCCCCGGCUAACUACGUGCCAGCAGCCGCGGUAAUACGUAGGGGGCAAGCGUUAUCCGGAUUUACUGGGUGUAAAGGGAGCGUAGACGGCGGUGCAAGCCAGAUGUGAAAGCCCAGGGCUCAACCCCGGGACUGCAUUUGGAACUGUAUGGCUGGAGUGUCGGAGAGGCAGGCGGAAUUCCUAGUGUAGCGGUGAAAUGCG